CACGUAGUUAGCCGGUGCUUUUUCUGCAGGUACCGUCACUUUCGCUUCUUCCCUACUAAAAGAGGUUUACAACCCGAAGGCCGUCGUCCCUCACGCGGCGUCGCUGCAUCAGGGUUCCCCCCAUUGUGCAAUAUCCCCCACUGCUGCCUCCCGUAGGAGUCUGGGCCGUGUCUCAGUCCCAAUGUGGCCGUCCACCCUCUCAGGCCGGCUACUGAUCGUCGCCUUGGUGGGCCGUUACCCCGCAACAAGCUAAUCAGACGCGAGCCCAUCCUGCACCAUAUUACUUUCCACACCGCCCCAUGCGGGGCUGUGCGCCUAUGCGGUAUUAGCAGCCGUUUCCAGCUGUUCGUCCCCCAGUGCAGGGCAGGUUGCUCACGCGUUACUCACCCGUCCGCCACUAGGCAGCGCCAAUUUCCGCUCCGAAAAGUUUCCAUCGGCGCGCCCCGUUCGACUUGCAUGUGUUAGGCACGCCGCCAGCGUUCAUCCUGAGCCAGGAUCAAACUCU
Molecule: ribosomal RNA, 505 nt
Filed under: uncultured bacterium
Lineage: Bacteria
Description: partial 16S ribosomal RNA
Source: RNAcentral